Molecule: ribosomal RNA, 465 nt
Filed under: uncultured bacterium
Lineage: Bacteria
Description: partial 16S ribosomal RNA
Rfam family: Bacterial small subunit ribosomal RNA
Source: RNAcentral
GACGAACGCUGGCGGCGUGCUUAACACAUGCAAGUCGAACGGAAAGGCCCCCUUGUGGGGUACUCGAGUGGCGAACGGGUGAGUAACACGUGAGUAACCUACCCUUGACUUUGGGAUAACUUCAGGAAACUGGGGCUAAUACCGGAUAGGAGCUCCUGCUGCAUGGUGGGGGUUGGAAAGUUUCGGCGGUUGGGGAUGGACUCGCGGCUUAUCAGCUUGUUGGUGGGGUAGUGGCUCACAAAGGCUUUGACGGGUAGCCGGCCUGGGAGGGUGACCGGCCACAUUGGGACUGAGAUACGGCCCAGACUCCUACGGGAGGCAGCAGUGGGGAAUAUUGCACAAUGGGCGGAAGCCUGAUGCAGCAACGCCGCGUGCGGGAUGACGGCCUUCGGGUUGUAAACCGCUUUCGCCUGUGACGAAGCGUGAGUGACGGUAAUGGGUAAAGAAGCACCGGCUAACUACGUG